GAUUUGUGUAUGCUAUGCAUGCUCCUAUCAUUAAGUUACAUCCCCAGCUCCCAUAUAUAUAUAGAGAGAGGCACACAGUCUAACUAUAAUGUUAUAUAUAUAAAAUAAUGACUUUUAAAAAUGACAUUGGACAUCAGACAAUAACCCCCAAAGAUGGGAAGCAAAUGAGGUAAGCAUUAUGAUUGUCCAGUUUACUGCCUGGAGAGUUUCUAGGUGGUGGCAAAAGGCAGAACUUUAUAGUAGAGUCUGGCAGAUUCCCUGAGAUGAGGAGAUGGAGCUGAGAGUCCAGGGAAACCCAAAUAGCUAAGGUUUACAGGGUAGAAUAACAGGAGAGAUCUGCACAGAGAGAGAAAAAAAGACUAGCAGCAACCAAAUUGAAAGAUCUUCAGAGGGUCCUCAUUGGGUAUUCAGCAGAGUAUUCAGGAACUCAUGAAUGUAUGAUACUACUCCAAGUCAGAGAAAGAACCACCUGAAAAAUCAUGGAAACAAUAGCUACAACUCACGUGGGGCCAGAAGUGGUGGCUGUUUCCACCUGCCAGAUCAGUACUCCUAUCAUUCACAGAGCAUUAGGUAAAAUAUUCAGAAGGGUCUUGCCUCGGUUGUGGGACAAAAUUGGCACUAGACUAAAUGUUGCUCUAUUUCUGUCAAGCAAAUCUUAACCCCACCCCCACAAGAUCAAAUUGAGUUUUUUUUUAAAUAAAGAACUAAUAUAAUUUGUUGUUAUUAUUAUGUUAUUAUUAUUGGUACUAGGAAU
RNAcentral lists this long non-coding RNA (754 nucleotides) under Marmota monax (woodchuck). The record is from RNAcentral. Lineage: Eukaryota; Metazoa; Chordata; Mammalia; Rodentia; Sciuridae.